UAUCAUUCCAAUAUUAUUAAGAAUUAUGAAUGAUCAACUGAUGUUUCUGUAAUGAGCACUUAUUGGUACUUAGGGUUACCAGAUAGACGUUUUUAUAACAGGCAUGUCAUCUAUGCUUCGAGCAGCCACAGCAAGUAUUCAGGGGAGUCAUUUCCAGGAAUUUCUAAUGCUCUGUUUGAAAUUAAAAGCAAGGUGGACCCUUGCAAGGCUAGGGGAGAAGUGAAGAGAAAGAUUUCUGUUGCUGCCUUCACAGUGCAGGCAGCUUCAGAGGCUUUGAACCAAGU
This 284-nucleotide long non-coding RNA is filed under the name Homo sapiens (human). RNAcentral describes it as "non-protein coding lnc-FAHD2A-4:1". The record is from RNAcentral. Lineage: Eukaryota; Metazoa; Chordata; Mammalia; Primates; Hominidae.